GGUUUAAUUCGAUGAUACGCGAGGAACCUUACCCGGGCUUGAAUUGCAGAGGAAGGAUUUGGAGACAAUGACGCCCCUCGGGGCCUCUGUGAAGGUGCUGCAUGGUUGUCGUCAGCUCGUGCCGUGAGGUGUCGGCUUAAGUGCCAUAACGAGCGCAACCCCUCUCCUUAGUUGCCAUCAGGUAAGGCUGGGCACUCUGGGGACACUGCCACCGUAAGGUGUGA
This 224-nucleotide ribosomal RNA is filed under the name uncultured bacterium. RNAcentral describes it as "partial 16S ribosomal RNA". It matches the Rfam family "Bacterial small subunit ribosomal RNA", at positions 943 to 1167 of the family's 1533-position model. The record is from RNAcentral.